GACGGAAGGUGCAAGCGUUGCUCGGAAUCACUGGGCGUAAAGGGUGCGUAGGCGGCCGUGCAAGUCUGGCGUGAAAGCCCCGGGCUCAGCCCGGGAAGUGCGCUCGAAACUGCGCGGCUCGAGUGCCGGAGGGGAGAGUGGAAUUCCUGGUGUAGCGGUGAAAUGCGUAGAUAUCAGGAGGAAUACCGAUGGCGAAAGCGACUCUCUGGGCCGAUACUGACGCUGAGGAGCGAAAGCGUGGGGAGCAAACAGG
This 253-nucleotide ribosomal RNA is filed under the name uncultured bacterium. RNAcentral's name for it is "partial 16S ribosomal RNA". It matches the Rfam family "Bacterial small subunit ribosomal RNA", at positions 524 to 776 of the family's 1533-position model. The record is from RNAcentral.